Molecule: ribosomal RNA, 427 nt
Filed under: uncultured bacterium
Lineage: Bacteria
Description: bacterial SSU rRNA
Rfam family: Bacterial small subunit ribosomal RNA
Source: RNAcentral
AAUCAACGCUGGCGGCGUGCCUCAGACAUGCAAGUCGAACGAUUAAAGCUCUCUUCGGAGAGUGUAUAGAGUGGCGCACGGGUGAGUAACACGUAAGUAAUCUACCCUCGAGUGGGGAAUAACAACCGGAAACGGUUGCUAAUACCGCAUAAUGCAGCGGCACCGCAAGGUGACAGUUGUUAAAGAUUUAUCGCUUGAGGAGGAGCUUGCGGCAGAUUAGCUAGUUGGUAGGGUAACGGCUUACCAAGACUACGAUCUGUAACCGGUCUAAGAGGACGGUCGGUCACACUGACACUGAAUAACGGGUCAGACUCCUACGGGAGGCAGCAGUCGGGAAUUUGGUCGAAUAGGCGGAAGACCUCGACCACGACAACGACCGCCGUGAAGGAAGUAGAAGUAAUUUACGGUUAGUGUAAACUUACGUAAA